Molecule: ribosomal RNA, 292 nt
Filed under: uncultured eukaryote
Lineage: Eukaryota
Description: partial 18S ribosomal RNA
Rfam family: Eukaryotic small subunit ribosomal RNA
Source: RNAcentral
GGUUGAUCCUGCCAGUAGUCAUAUGCUUGUCUCAAAGAUUAAGCCAUGCAUGUCUAAGUAUAAACUGCUUAUACUGUGAAACUGCGAAUGGCUCAUUAAAUCAGUUAUAGUUUAUUUGAUGGUACUUCUUACUCGGAUAACCGUAAGAAAUUUAGAGCUAAUACGUGCGUAAAACCCGACUUCUGGAAGGGUCGUAUAUAUUAGAUGAAAGGCCGACCGGACUCUGUCCGACCCGCGGUGAAUCAUGAUAUCUUCACGAAUCGCAUAGCCUUGUGCUGGCGAUGUUUCAUUC